UUGUUAUGUUUAAUAUGUUUCACGUUCUUUACACAAUGUUUUGUAAUGGGCCCGAGGGCCAACAGUUCACAGAGGUAUGAAGGAUGAGAUAAGGCCUUUCGGCCAAUCAUUAAUGAUCCUUCCGCAGGUUCACCUACGGAAA
Molecule: unclassified non-coding RNA, 142 nt
Filed under: uncultured fungus
Lineage: Eukaryota; Fungi
Description: sequence contains ITS1
Source: RNAcentral